GACGAACGCUGGCGGCGUGCUUAACACAUGCAAGUCGAACGGAAAUGCCCUGCUUGUUUUCUGUGCUCGGGUUGCGAACUAGUGAGUUACACGUGGGUAGCCUACCCUGUGCUUUAGGAUACCUUCAGGAAGGUGUAGCUAAUACCGAAUAGGACCUCCUGCUCCAUGGUUAUGGUUAGAACAUUUCGGUGUUUGGGGAGGGACUCGCGGGUUAUCAGUUUGUUGGGUGGGUAGUGUCUUACCAAGGAUUUGACGGUUAGCCGGCCUGAGAGGGUGACCGGCCACCUUGGGAGUGAGAGAGGCACCAGACUCCUACGGGCGGCAGCAGGGGGGAAUAGUGAACAAUGGGCGGAAGCAUGCUGGAGGAACGAAGGGUGCGGGAAGAAGGCCUUUGGGUUGAAAACAGCUUUCGCCUGUGAAGAAGCGUGAGUGACGGUAAUGGGUAAAGAAGCACCGGCUAACUACGUG
Molecule: ribosomal RNA, 468 nt
Filed under: uncultured bacterium
Lineage: Bacteria
Description: partial 16S ribosomal RNA
Rfam family: Bacterial small subunit ribosomal RNA
Source: RNAcentral